GACAGCCCCGUACACAAAAAUGCACAUAUUGUGAGCUCGAUGAGUAGGGCGGGACACGUGGUAUCCUGUCUGAAUAUGGGGGGACCAUCCUCCAAGGCUAAAUACUCCUGACUGACCGAUAGUGAACCAGUACCGUGAGGGAAAGGCGAAAAGAACCCCGGCGAGGGGAGUGAAAAAGAACCUGAAACCGUGUACGUACAAGCAGUGGGAGCACGCUUAGGCGUGUGACUGCGUACCUUUUGUAUAAUGGGUCAGCGACUUAUAUUCUGUAGCAAGGUUAACCGAAUAGGGGAGCCGAAGGGAAACCGAGUCUUAACUGGGCGUUAAGUUGCAGGGUAUAGACCCGAAACCCGGUGAUCUAGCCAUGGGCAGGUUGAAGGUUGGGUAACACUAACUGGAGGACCGAACCGACUAAUGUUGAAAAAUUAGCGGAUGACUUGUGGCUGGGGGUGAAAGGCCAAUCAAACCGGGAGAUAGCUGGUUCUCCCCGAAAGCUAUUUAGGUAGCGCCUCGUGAAUUCAUCUCCGGGGGUAGAGCACUGUUUCGGCAAGGGGGUCAUCCCGACUUACCAACCCGAUGCAAACUGCGAAUACCGGAGAAUGUUAUCACGGGAGACACACGGCGGGUGCUAACGUCCGUCGUGAAGAGGGAAACAACCCAGACCGCCAGCUAAGGUCCCAAAGUCAUGGUUAAGUGGGAAACGAUGUGGGAAGGCCCAGACAGCCAGGAUGUUGGCUUAGAAGCAGCCAUCAUUUAAAGAAAGCGUAAUAGCUCACUGGUCGAGUCGGCCUGCGCGGAAGAUGUAACGGGGCUAAACCAUG
RNAcentral lists this ribosomal RNA (821 nucleotides) under Escherichia coli. Its description in RNAcentral is "partial 23S ribosomal RNA". It matches the Rfam family "Bacterial large subunit ribosomal RNA", at positions 366 to 1191 of the family's 2925-position model. Lineage: Bacteria; Pseudomonadati; Pseudomonadota; Gammaproteobacteria; Enterobacterales; Enterobacteriaceae. The record is from RNAcentral.